AAAUAAGCAAACCCAACAGAAAAUGUCAAACUAGUAGAUGUGACACCGACAAUUUCAAGUAGUGGUAACCGAUAUCUAUUUGUUUUGUAUGUGCUAUCACAUAUCAAAACAAAAUGAAACGUGUUUAACAACUUUAUACAAUCAGUAUGCGUCCAAAAUAUAUCUCUCAAAACAUCAGAAUUAUCCCGUCUUCUUGUCCAAUACACAUAAUUUUCUUGUUGUAUUAACUUCAACAGAUGCUGCAUUUUUGUGUACGAACCUCUC
RNAcentral lists this long non-coding RNA (264 nucleotides) under Cicer arietinum (chickpea). RNAcentral describes it as "long non-coding RNA (CARI_LNC002560)". The record is from RNAcentral. Lineage: Eukaryota; Viridiplantae; Streptophyta; Magnoliopsida; Fabales; Fabaceae.